Molecule: long non-coding RNA, 222 nt
Organism: Quercus lobata
Lineage: Eukaryota; Viridiplantae; Streptophyta; Magnoliopsida; Fagales; Fagaceae
Exons: 3
Source: RefSeq, a predicted model, not a curated record
UUAUUAGCUUGCUUCCUGAUAAUCUUAGCGAAAUUGGUGUGGAGUACGUUGAGGUAGGGAUUUAGCAUUUUGAUAUCUGGCUUAUUUGGUAAUACAACUACAAGACGAGGAAAGUCAGUGACCACAUGACACUUUUUAAAGCUUUUGAAGGAUAGAAGGAUGCAAACCGUAAUGGAAAGAGUCCUGUCACUUUGCAAAUGACAAAGGAUAUGAGAAUGCAAU